ACGAGAGGUGCAAGCGUUAUUCGGAAUUAUUGGGCGUAAAGGGCGCGUAGGCGGCUUUAUAAGUUUCUUGUUUAAGACUUCGGCCUAACUGAAGAAAAGCAAGGAAUACUGUAUAGCUAGAGUAUAAUAGAGAGAAGUGGAAUUUUCGGAGUAGCGGUUAAAUGCGUAGAUCUCGAAAGGAACGCCAAUGGCGAAGGCAGCUUCGUGGGUUAUUACUGACGCUGAGGCGCGAAGGCAUGGGGAGCAAACAG
This 251-nucleotide ribosomal RNA is filed under the name uncultured prokaryote. Its description in RNAcentral is "partial 16S rRNA". It matches the Rfam family "Bacterial small subunit ribosomal RNA", at positions 525 to 775 of the family's 1533-position model. The record is from RNAcentral.